This 1279-nucleotide ribosomal RNA is filed under the name Thyestilla gebleri. RNAcentral describes it as "16S ribosomal RNA". The stretch from base 1037 to 1196 matches the Rfam family "Bacterial large subunit ribosomal RNA", at positions 2473 to 2632 of the family's 2925-position model. Lineage: Eukaryota; Metazoa; Arthropoda; Insecta; Coleoptera; Cerambycidae. The record is from RNAcentral.
GGUGAAAAUAAUUAUUAUUUAAUUUGGAAUUAAGGGGUUAAAAAAAGAAUUUUUAGUUAAGUAGAUAAAUUGAACAAUAGGGGUUAAUAAUAGGGUAUUAGUAUUGUGAAAGAAUUUUUUUUUAUGGGUAAAAGAAAAAUUUUUAUUUUGUACCUUGUGUAUCAGGGUUAAUUAAUUUUUUUAUAGAAGAUAAUUUUCUCGAAUUUAAAAGAGUUAAAUUUGAAGUGAAUUAAAUGUUGGAUAAUUUUUUUUAAUUCAAAUUUAGUAAUGAAAUGUUAUUCGUUUUUAAUAUAUCUAGUUAUUAAAGAAAAAAGUUUAAUUUGUUUGUUAAAAAUAUUUUUUUUAAUUUAAAAUUUAAUGUUAUUAGCAGGUUAUUUUUAAGGGGAUGAGCUUUUAAAAAAAUUUUUAAAAAUUAGGGGUAGUUUUAAAAAAUUAUGGGGUUAGAAGUGCUUUUUAUUAAUAAAGUGUUAUAAUUAAUUUUUGAUCAUAUAUUAUUUCUAUUAAUUUUAAAUAUUAUAUUUAAUAGAAUGAAUUAAUUUAAAAUUUGUUGUUAUAAUGAUUAAAUUAGUAUUUAUUGAUUGUAAAAUAAUUUUUGUAGGGGAGGUUAUUUUAAGGAAUUCGGCAAAUAUUUUUUCACCUGUUUAUUAAAAACAUGGCUUUUUGAUAAUAAUUUAAGGUCUGGCCUGCCCACUGAAGAUUUAAAUGGCCGCGGUAUUUUGACCGUGCUAAGGUAGCAUAAUCAUUAGUUUUUUAAUUGAAAGCUGGAAUGAAGGGUUGGAUGAAAAAAGUACUGUCUCUAAAUUAUUUGAAAAGAAUUUUAUUUUUAAGUAAAAAAGCUUAAAUUUUUUUAAAAGACGAGAAGACCCUAUAGAGUUUUAUAUGAAUUGGAUAUUUAUAGUUAGGUAUUUUUAAGUAAAUGUUUAUUUUUUAUUUGGUUGGGGUGACUGAAAAACUAAUUAAACUUUUUUUAUUUAAAACCAUUUAUUUAUGAAAAUUUGAUCCAUAGUUAAUGAUUAAAAGAAAAAAUUACCUUAGGGAUAACAGCGUAAUUUUUUUAAAGAGUUCUAAUCGAAAAAAAAGAUUGCGACCUCGAUGUUGGAUUAAAAUUAAUUUUUGGUGCAGAAGCUAGAAAUUUUAGGUCUGUUCGACCUUUGAAAUUUUACAUGAUCUGAGUUUAAACCGGUGUGAGCCAGGUUGGUUUCUAUCUUUAAAUUAAUUAUAUGUUUUAGUACGAAAGGAUCGAAUAUGUGGUAUAUUAUUUACUUUGAUGAGCAAUUGU